RNAcentral lists this ribosomal RNA (470 nucleotides) under uncultured Pelotomaculum sp. Its description in RNAcentral is "bacterial SSU rRNA". It matches the Rfam family "Bacterial small subunit ribosomal RNA", at positions 917 to 1381 of the family's 1533-position model. Lineage: Bacteria; Bacillati; Bacillota; Clostridia; Eubacteriales; Desulfotomaculaceae. The record is from RNAcentral.
GACGGGGCCGCACAAGCGGUGGAGCAUGUGGUUAAUUCGACGCAACGCGAAGAACCUUACCAGGGCUUGACAUCCCCUGACCGCGUAUGAAAGUACGUUUUCACCCUCGGGUGACAGGGAGACAGGUGGUGCAUGGUUGUCGUCAGCUCGUGUCGUGAGAUGUUAGGUUAAGUCCCGCAACGAGCGCAACCCCUACGUUUAGUUGCUAACGCGUGAAGGCGAGCACUCUAGACGAACUGCCGUUGACAAAACGGAGGAAGGUGGGGAUGACGUCAAAUCAUCAUGCCCCUUAUGUUCUGGGCUACACACGUGCUACAAUGGCCGGUACAGACGGAGGCGAAGCCGCGAGGCGGUAGCAAAUCCGAAAAAGCCGGUCUCAGUUCGGAUUGCAGGCUGCAAUUCGCCUGCAUGAAGUCGGAAUCGCUAGUAAUCGCAGGUCAGCAUACUGCGGUGAAUGCGUUCCGGGCCUU